UAAACACAUCUCCAUCCAACCUGCAAUCUCUUCGCCUAUCUCUCUGCAUUUUUCUUACCCUCUCUGCCUACGAUCUUUCUCUCUUUUAUUCGUUAAUAAAUAGAGCCUUUCAUCAUGUAGCUCUUUGCAUCCUCUUCUUCUCCAUUUUUCUCGUGGUCAUCCAGUUCUAAGACUAAUUCUCCAUGGAGUCCUUGAAGGCAUUUGCCUUCAUGAAGAGAAAUAGGAGGAGGAGAGUGGCGAUGAUGGAGGAAUCAAAGAAAUGAAAGUUCAAAGAAGAUUCCAUCAAUGGAUGUGUUUCUGAUCUCGAUUCUACCUCUCAUAUCUGUUUCCUUCUUGACCCGUUAGAAAAGACCACUCGUUGAUCUCUAGCGCAGUAACUCAGGAAGAGGAAAGCUAGAGUCGGUGAUAGCAAAGAGUCAGCUCAGGUGGUGGCACUGCUAGUGUCGGGGGAUAAGCGGGCCAAGAAGAUGGUGUGGGAUAGGGAAGAUACAGAUUUGGGGAAAAAGAAGGUGACCUUAUUCUUUGGCUCGUAGACCGACACUGCCAAGAGGUUCGCAAAGUUGGUUGAUUUUGAGAGCUGAAAAAUUAUUUUCUCAGAAUCUAAGAAAAGUACUGGUUACUUCAGCAGAGUCUCUCUUCCAGAAUAUAAUGUUCCUCGAGAGCAACAAGAAAUGGAAAUUCAAGCUAACAUCUUUGCUUUUGGAGUAGUUUUACUGGAAAUAAUCAGUGGAAGACCUCCAUAUUGCAAGGAAAGAGGGUGUCUGAUAAAUUGGGCCACAAAGUAUCUUCAAAACCCAGAAGAGAUAAGUAAACUAGUAGA
Zingiber officinale is the source of this 820-nucleotide long non-coding RNA. RefSeq lists it as uncharacterized. The record is from RefSeq and is a predicted model, not a curated record. The transcript has 3 exons. Lineage: Eukaryota; Viridiplantae; Streptophyta; Magnoliopsida; Zingiberales; Zingiberaceae.